This 377-nucleotide long non-coding RNA is filed under the name Trifolium pratense (red clover). Its description in RNAcentral is "long non-coding RNA (TPRA_LNC011378)". Lineage: Eukaryota; Viridiplantae; Streptophyta; Magnoliopsida; Fabales; Fabaceae. The record is from RNAcentral.
UCAUCCUUUAUGAUUCCCAAGGAGCGUCUGAGCAUUUGUGAAGAAAGAGGAGCGUGCCUAAUCAUUAUAUAUACGAAGACCAAGCUCAAGACUAAGUAUCUCAUUGAAAAAUAUUAGUUACACAUAUUGAGUCUUUGUUGAGUCUUUGUUAAGUCUUUGUUGAGUCCUUUAUUAUUUGAUUGUAAUUCUUGCUUGUGGAUUCUAUAACACGAGUUAAGAAGUAAGUUUAUUAGUUUAAGGUUGCUCCUAAGCUUUGAAGUACGGAGUUUACCAUGUGUGAUUCACUUGAAGCUUUUAAGCAAAAGUGAAGUGUUGUCUUGACAAGUUGUCACCACAUCUUUCCUAACAUUGUAUAAUCAACACAGGUUGUGUUGUGU